AAAACGGUCCUUUUGAGGACCACUAAACAAUAUUUAACGAGUUUAC
Molecule: non-coding RNA, 46 nt
Organism: Phlebotomus papatasi
Lineage: Eukaryota; Metazoa; Arthropoda; Insecta; Diptera; Psychodidae
Source: Rfam